Molecule: ribosomal RNA, 468 nt
Filed under: uncultured bacterium
Lineage: Bacteria
Description: partial 16S ribosomal RNA
Rfam family: Bacterial small subunit ribosomal RNA
Source: RNAcentral
GACGAACGCUGGCGGCGUGCUUAACACAUGCAAGUCGAACGGAAAGGCCCUGCUUUUGUGGCGUGCUCGAGUGGCGAACGGGUGAGUAACACGUGAGUAACCUGCCCUUGACUUUGUGAUAACUUCAGGAAACUGGGGCUAAUACCGGAUAGGAGCUCCUGCUGCAUGGUGGGGGUUGGAAAGUUUCGGUGGUUGGGGGUGGACUCGCGGCUUAUCAGCUUGUUGGGGGGGUGGUGGCUUACCAAGGCUUUGACGGGUCGCCGGCCUGAGAGGGUGACCGGCCACAUUGGGACUGAGAUACGGCCCAGACUCCUACGGGAGGCAGCAGUGGGGAAUAUUGCACAAUGGGCGGAAGCCUGAUGCAGCAACGCCGCGUGCGGGAUGACGGCCUUCGGGUUGUAAACCGCUUUCGCCUGAGACGAAGCGUGAGUGACGGUAAUGGGUAAAGAAGCACCGGCUAACUACGUG